Molecule: ribosomal RNA, 343 nt
Filed under: uncultured Pseudomonas sp.
Lineage: Bacteria; Pseudomonadati; Pseudomonadota; Gammaproteobacteria; Pseudomonadales; Pseudomonadaceae
Description: bacterial SSU rRNA
Rfam family: Bacterial small subunit ribosomal RNA
Source: RNAcentral
UGGUGCAUGGUUGUCGUCAGCUCGUGUCGUGAGAUGUUGGGUUAAGUCCGUAACGAGCGCAACCCUUGUCCUUAGUUACCAGCACGUUAUGGUGGGCACUCUAAGGAGACUGCCGGUGACAAACCGGAGGAAGGUGGGGAUGACGUCAAGUCAUCAUGGCCCUUACGGCCUGGGCUACACACGUGCUACAAUGGUCGGUACAAAGGGUUGCCAAGCCGCGAGGUGGAGCUAAUCCCAUAAAACCGAUCGUAGUCCGGAUCGCAGUCUGCAACUCGACUGCGUGAAGUCGGAAUCGCUAGUAAUCGUGAAUCAGAAUGUCACGGUGAAUACGUUCCCGGGCCUU